Molecule: ribosomal RNA, 497 nt
Filed under: uncultured bacterium
Lineage: Bacteria
Description: partial 16S ribosomal RNA
Rfam family: Bacterial small subunit ribosomal RNA
Source: RNAcentral
GAUGAACGCUGGCGGCGUGCCUAAUACAUGCAAGUCGAGCGAACGGACGAGAAGCUUGCUCCUCUGAUGUUAGCGGCGGACGGGUGAGUAACACGUGGAUAACCUACCUAUAAGACUGGGAUAACUUCGGGAAACCGGAGCUAAUACCGGAUAAUAUUUUGAACCGCAUGGUUCAAAAGUGAAAGACGGUUUUGCUGUCACUUAUAGAUGGAUCCGCGCUGCAUUAGCUAGUUGGUAAGGUAACGGCUUACCAAGGCGACGAUGCGUAGCCGACCUGAGAGGGUGAUCGGCCACACUGGAACUGAGACACGGUCCAGACUCCUACGGGAGGCAGCAGUAGGGAAUCUUCCGCAAUGGGCGAAAGCCUGACGGAGCAACGCCGCGUGAGUGAUGAAGGUCUUCGGAUCGUAAAACUCUGUUAUUAGGGAAGAACAUAUGUGUAAGUAACUAUGCACGUCUUGACGGUACCUAAUCAGAAAGCCACGGCUAACUACGUG